This is a long non-coding RNA of Mirounga angustirostris (Northern elephant seal), 2263 nucleotides long. RefSeq lists it as uncharacterized. The record is from RefSeq and is a predicted model, not a curated record. NCBI's taxonomy places the organism in Eukaryota, Metazoa, Chordata, Mammalia, Carnivora, Phocidae. The transcript has 5 exons.
CGCAAGCCGACCGCCGGGAGGAGGGUGGCGGCGGGGAGGGGGGUUGAGCCCACCCCGGGAGUUGCGGCGACUUCGUCGGGGUCUGCGGCUGCCGCGGCCCCGCCCUCGGCGCCAGGGGACCCGCUGGCCCGAACGCGCCCUGGGAGCGCGCCGGCCGUGUUUCUGUUCCCACCCAACCCCGCGGGGGAACGCGGUUUACUCCGGCUUUACCGACGGGGAAACCGAGGCUCGGGAGAGAGCUCUACCCAAAGCCACCGGCUCAUGAGUGGGAAUGCCCUCUGGUGUUGUCCACAACAAGCAUCUUGCAUCGUGGCCUGUGCCUCCCAGAAGACUGGAGGUCACAAACUUGUUUCAGCCGGGAUCUAAUCAAGACAACAGAAUCCAUGCCUGUUAUUUCAGAUAGAGGACACAAAGCAGGGAAGUGUUUCCACGGUGGUGGAAAGAGAUGGCGAGACAAGCUGAGCCCUGGGCAUUUUCCAGCAGAUUCAUCCAUCAGAAGCACUAACCUCCAACAGCUGGAUGUGGAUGCUGGGAAACUGGAGUGAGACAUCAAGAUUCCACGGAGGCCGCCACGCGGGGUCUUUGUCCAGGAUCAUCCCAAACAGCUCAAGACUCAUCGACCGACACACAAACAAUGAAUGGUCGUCCCAGCACCUCCAGUUCAAAGCGAGUCUAGACUCAAGCAAGAUGUGUGGAUUCAAGUCAAGUCCUGUGGAACUUCCAGGUGUGGGCUCGAAUUCAACACUGCCUAGCGGUUGCUGACUCCAGGCCUCUCUCUUGACCUUCCUGGUUUCCAUUUCCCAAUUGGGAAGCCAUGGGGACAACAGGCCAUGAUGGCUAAAACGUUGUUGGAGGUGGUCAGCAGGGCGGACGAAUGGGAGCACAGCCUGACCGGCCUAGGCAGAUGUGGGUGUUUCUCACCAGGGAAGAAGCUCAGGUGUGUUAGCAGGUGCGUCUCAGAAGGCUACUUUGUCUGUCACACAUCACUGCCCAUCAUCCAGGGCCCUUGCCGAGGGAGCUGGGACACAGUGUCCACGGAAUCCCUGAGAGGCAUCUACAAGGUCGACCAAAGCAGGAGAGAGAAGGACAGAAGGACAGAGAUGCCUGUCGGGGGCUGCCCAGGUCCAGGGGGGUCAGGCCAGGUCUGCUCUACCUCCCACUUUGAAAUCAAAAGCCAUACAAGUAGGGGGGUCGGCUGGCUCAGUCAGUAGACCCUGUGACUCUUGAUCUCGGGGUUGUGAGUUUGAGCCCCACGGUGGGUAUAAAGAUUACCUAAAAUCUUUAAAAAAAAAAAAAUAAAUAAAGGUGUCACACAAGUUUUCAAAGUCAUUCAUUUCCAAGUAUAACCUUGUUCUCCUUGCUGGGUGAUCUGGAUUUUCCCCCAUGUCCUUUGCAUGGACAAGGACUCUGUGUCCCCUCUGGAAUGAUUAAUAUACUGAAGUGUCAUGAAAAAGCCUUUGAACUUUGUUAGAGUUAGUAGCACAUGCAUUUGGAUUGUUUCCCCCCCUAGUUAAGAAAUAAAGCCUCUUUGCAAAACCCAUAAUAUAACCCUGUCUUAAAAUUAAGCUCUCUUAGAGGCUGUUUCUGAUUAUGGUGGUUCCAGGUUUUUCUAAUUAUUCUGUUCCAAAUGUUUAUCUUUUGCCCUAAUGUGCAGAGGGCUCUGUUUAUAUAACAUUAUAAGGUAAAACAGCUGUAUGCUUAGGUUCUAGCGCUGCUUGAUACCGGAGGCAAUUAAUGUGCAUUGUAUAUUGAGCUUCCAGCUACAGGACUUCCGCAUCGUUAGCCAAAAAUCAGCCUGCAUGGCUUGAUAUCAAGUCUCUUAUUCCCCCUCCCCGAUUAAGGAAUGUUUUCCUUUGGGAAACCUAAUAGAGGUAUGGAAAUAAUACCAUAUGUAGCUUUGCGUAUCAUAAACCCUCGGCUGAAAAGAAUGACGUGGAGAGCGUCCCCAGCACCACGGGUUAUGAUGGCUACACACUUCGUGAGUACGUAAGGCAAUUUUACCUUUUAACACAAAUAAGUGGUUUUUUGUGAUAGCAAUCAAGAAAAAAAAUCUGAGUAUUUAUUAUCCUAGUUUGGGGAGUUAAACUUCCCUGGUUUCAAAAAUCUCUGCUGCAAUGUCCACAAUAGCCAAACUGUGGAAAGAGCCAAGAUGUCCAUCGACAGAUGAAUGGAUAAAGAAGAUGUGGUAUAUAUACACAAUGGAAUAUUAUGCAGCCAUCAAAAGGAAUGAGAUCUUGCCAUUUGCAAUGACGUGGAUGGAACU